ACUACGGGUGGCAGCAGUGGGGGAUAUUGCACAAUGGGGGGAACCCUGAUGCAGCGACGCCGCGUGGGUGAAGGAGGGUUUCGGCGCGUAAAGCCCUAUCGGCAGGGAAGAAGAUGACGGUACCUGACCAAGAAGCCCCGGCUAACUACGGGCCAGCAGCCGCGGUAAUACGUUGGGGGAAAGCGUUAUCCGGAUUUACUGGGUGUACAGGGGGCGAAGACGGCAAUGAAAGCCAGGAGUGAAAGCCCGGGGCCCCACCCCGGGACUGCUCUUGGUACUGCCUGGCUGGAGUACAGGAGGGGCAGGCGGAAUUCCUAGUGUAGCGGUGACAUGCGUAGCUAUUAGGAGGAACACCGGUGGCGAAGGCGGCCUGCUGGACUGUGACUGACGUUGCGGCCCGAAUGCGUGGGGAGCAAACAGGAUUAGAUACCCGGGUAGUC
This 440-nucleotide ribosomal RNA is filed under the name uncultured bacterium. Its description in RNAcentral is "partial 16S ribosomal RNA". It matches the Rfam family "Bacterial small subunit ribosomal RNA", at positions 338 to 795 of the family's 1533-position model. The record is from RNAcentral.